GACGAACGCUGGCGGCGUGCUUAACACAUGCAAGUCGAACGGAAAGGCCCUGCUUUUGUGGGGUGCUCGAGUGGCGAACGGGUGAGUAACACGUGAGUAACCUGCCCUUGACUUUGGGAUAACUUCAGGAAACUGGGGCUAAUACCGGAUAGGAGCUCCUGCUGCAUGGUGGGGGUUGGAAAGUUUCGGCGGUUGGGGAUGGACUCGCGGCUUAUCAGCUUGUGGUGGGGUAGUGGCUUACCAAGGCUUUGACGGGUAGCCGGCCUGAGAGGGUGACCGGCCACAUUGGGACUGAGAUACGGCCCAGACUCCUACGGGAGGCAGCAGUGGGGAAUAUUGCACAAUGGGCGGAAGCCUGAUGCAGCAACGCCGCGUGCGGGAUGACGGCCUUCGGGUUGUAAACCGCUUUCGCCUGUGACGAAGCGUGAGUGACGGUAAUGGGUAAAGAAGCACCGGCUAACUACGUG
This 467-nucleotide ribosomal RNA is filed under the name uncultured bacterium. Its description in RNAcentral is "partial 16S ribosomal RNA". It matches the Rfam family "Bacterial small subunit ribosomal RNA", at positions 28 to 507 of the family's 1533-position model. The record is from RNAcentral.